Molecule: unclassified non-coding RNA, 220 nt
Filed under: plant metagenome
Description: partial contains small subunit ribosomal RNA, internal transcribed spacer 1, and 5.8S ribosomal RNA
Source: RNAcentral
UCUCCGUUGGUGAACCAGCGGAGGGAUCAUUACAGAGUUGCAAAACUCCCAAACCCUUGUGAACAUACCCGUUACAGUUGCUUCGGUGGGCGGCCCCAGGGCGUGGCCGCAGCCUCUUCUCACGAGGCGCCCGCCGGAGGUAUAUAACUCUUUGUAUUAUGUUCUCUCUGAGUAAAUUUAUAAUAAGUCAAAACUUUUAACAACGGAUCUCUUGGUUCUG